Long non-coding RNA from Canis lupus familiaris (dog), 1739 nucleotides. RefSeq lists it as uncharacterized. Lineage: Eukaryota; Metazoa; Chordata; Mammalia; Carnivora; Canidae. The record is from RefSeq and is a predicted model, not a curated record. The transcript has 9 exons.
CAACGGCUUCUUGUGUUCAAGUGAGCAGCGAAACUGGUCCCCUCUUGCUCUUUGAGCUGAGGUUGCCAGAAGAACAAGAAAUGAAAUUUAAGUUGGUUUGGGGUGUGCUGCUCAUCAGACAUAGAAAACAGAAUUCUGGUGUCUCACAGAGGCCUUUCAAAAUGCACCUCAAGGAACAAAGCAUAUGCCACCUUCCUCGGCAGAUCCCAGAGCCAACAUCAACCAGAAAGAGGGCUCGCAUACGGAGAACACUUGUGAUGGAGUGCCAACUUUUCGUGCCGCUUUGCAUAGCCAGCUUACAUUUAGGGCUCCUAUUAACUUGAAAGAGAGUUCCAGGUGCAUUCAAGUUCUGCUGAAGAAAUGGAAAUUUGGAAGCUUUAUUAUUAGCUUAGGCCAUUUUCAACUCACGUGCUACCAUCCUCAAACCACUAACAUUUCAAAUGCUAUCUCUACUCUAAAGCCUACUCUGAGCCCAUCGUGAUCACCCACUAACUGAAGGGGGACAACAGUUUUGGCCAUGGAGAAGGAGAAAGAACUUUAGCAGGCACUGAAUUUUUACUUGGUGCUAGGUUCAAGACAAGAAGGAACAGGACUGCAGAAGGUGACUGUAUUUCAAAACUCCUAAUUGCUCUAAGGAAAGCAUCUGUAGACUGAGGUAUUAACACACCUAACUGCUGGUAAGAUGCAUUUAUCACCCAAGAUGAUCAACCAAGAUGCAAGCAAUGACUCUUCUAAUCUUUGAGUAUGUAUCGAGCAUCUGUUUGGGGCCAGGCAUUACACUCAUCUCUCUGAAAAGCAGUGAACCAAACAGAUAAAGUCACUCCUGCCAUCAGACUUGGACUAGUGUGGAGAAGACAGACGGCAUACUAAUCAAACACAUAAAAAUAUUGGAGUCGAAUCACGCUGAUGGAUCGAGCUAAAGCUUUUGACAUCCAACUAACUGGGUCCUGUUGGAGAUUGAACAACUGAUCUUGGGAUACCAAGUAACCAGGCAAUCUGAGUUGACUAACCCCACGUGGAGAGCGUAACUCAUUCUUACAGGACAAUACCCCUGGCGUCAUCUUCAGAGCUUUAGAAGCUUCACUUGUGGAUCAAACUUCCUCAUCCUCACGAAUCAGAACUUAGAAUAUCUUCAAGAAUAUGUGUCUCUUUCCUGAUGUCUCCAAAUAUCAGCAACCCUUGAAGAGUGGCAGAGACUCUCCUAGAUCCUCCUGCUCCUGGCAAGGCUGAGUCCUAAGCUUGUCACCAGGAAGAGAAGACCUUCAUACCUUAGUCUCCAGAGAUUUCAACCCAUUCCCCUACUUCAUGCAAACUGGUCUAUCUUUGUAGCCCUGGAGCGUGUAAGAGGUGAAAAGAAACUUAAAUCAGUAAAGAGAGUUAUGCGUCUCUGAGAUAUCAGUGUGGUGCUUGCAGAGUGAUAGUUCCUGUGGGCUUCCUGUUGAGUGUUGGCAAAUUAAAACGGUCACUGUGAUAACACAGAAUGGAAAAGAAGACUCGCUUUCCAUUUUCAAGCAUGAAAUUAGAACAAGCCUUGGAAAGGACUGCUUUCAUCCUGUCAGCAAUGAACUGGAGAAUCUUCAGUGACUCUCCACCGCCUUAGGACAAAAUCCCAUCACCUUAAUGCACCUUUUGAAGUCUUCACGGCCCUGGCCUAUAUUUAUAACUAUAUCUUCUGAUCAAUUCCUUGAAACCUGAUUUGUACUGGACCAUUUAUUCCAACGCUGAAAUCUUCCUAGCAC